Molecule: unclassified non-coding RNA, 221 nt
Filed under: Hevea brasiliensis (rubber tree)
Lineage: Eukaryota; Viridiplantae; Streptophyta; Magnoliopsida; Malpighiales; Euphorbiaceae
Source: RNAcentral
GUCUUGACGAAACUGUGAGGUUAUGGGACCCGAGUAACUUCGCUUGUGUUCAAACUUUCACCGGUCAUUGUCUCGGCGUUGUAUCUGUUGCUACACAUCCUACUCGUAGAAUUGCUGCAUCUGCUUCUAUAGAUAGCUUUAUUAGAGUUUUUGAGGUUGAUACUAAUAACACUAUUGCUACUCUCGAAGCUCCUCCUUCUGAAGUCUGGCAAUUGCAAUUU